UGGCCUUGUGUUAGUAACUACUCAAUAGCUUUCGUCAGGGAUGUUCCUUUGACUGUGUCAAAAGGUUCUAGCUGAGCUGAUGAUUGCAAGUUGCGAUUGGAACUACAAGUAGUAGAGGUAAUGUGUUUCGGUAAAAAAAAAAAAUACCAUUAACAUAAUCGAAAUGAAUCGUGCACACCUGUUAUUGUUUUUAUUUCUGCACUUUGGUCCAAUAUGUAGUAUCUGUAGGAUUAUACUUGGUGGAUUUUCAUAUAAUUUAUCGAAUUAUAGGAAGCCCAUGAGAGGCUUAUAGGAAGCCCAUGAGAGGCUUAUAGCAAUCUCCACAGGCGGUUAUGCCCCAUGGAUGGUUAUCAGUUUCAAUUUGCUGUCGGUAAGUAUUCUCAAUUUUGCUUUUAAAUUGUUGCUGACCUUAAUUUGGAUCCAGUAUCAACUUUUAAAUUGCUGCUUAAUCAUGCAUUUUAUUGCCUUAUUCUUCAAAUUUUUGCAGCUUAAAAGGAUGUAAUUUUUAUAUUGUUUUACUGCUUCCUUUGCUGACUUAUUCCUUGUUGAUCUUUGGUCCAACAAAACUGUUAUUAUAGCAGCCAGUAAUCGCAAUUUUCGUUUUAC
This 606-nucleotide long non-coding RNA is filed under the name Gossypium barbadense (sea-island cotton). RNAcentral's name for it is "long non-coding RNA (GBAR_LNC008870)". Lineage: Eukaryota; Viridiplantae; Streptophyta; Magnoliopsida; Malvales; Malvaceae. The record is from RNAcentral.